GAACCUGCGGAAGGAUCAUUG
Molecule: non-coding RNA, 21 nt
Filed under: Chlamydomonas reinhardtii
Lineage: Eukaryota; Viridiplantae; Chlorophyta; Chlorophyceae; Chlamydomonadales; Chlamydomonadaceae
Also listed under: 130 other names
Source: RNAcentral